GAUGAACGCUGGCGGCGUGCCUAAUGCAUGCAAGUCGAGCGAACAGACGAGGAGCUUGCUCCUCUGACGUUAGCGGCGGACGGGUGAGUAACACGUGGAUAACCUACCUAUAAGACUGGGAUAACUUCGGGAAACCGGAGCUAAUACCGGAUAAUAUAUUAAACCGCAUGGUUCAAUAGUGAAAGACGGUUUUGCUGUCACUUAUCGAUGGAUCCGCGCCGCAUUGGCUAGUUGGUAAGGUAACGGCUUACCAAGGCGACGAUGCGUAGCCGACCUGAGAGGGUGAUCGGCCACACUGGAACUGAGACACGGUCCAGACUCCUACGGGAGGCAGCAGUAGGGAAUCUUCCGCAAUGGGCGAAAGCCUGACGGAGCAACGCCGCGUGAGUGAUGAAGGUCUUCGGAUCGUAAAACUCUGUUAUUAGGGAAGAACAAAUGUGUAAGUAACUAUGCACGUCUUGACGGUACCUAAUCAGAAAGCCACGGCUAACUACGUG
RNAcentral lists this ribosomal RNA (497 nucleotides) under uncultured bacterium. RNAcentral's name for it is "partial 16S ribosomal RNA". It matches the Rfam family "Bacterial small subunit ribosomal RNA", at positions 28 to 507 of the family's 1533-position model. The record is from RNAcentral.